This 218-nucleotide long non-coding RNA is filed under the name Penaeus japonicus. RNAcentral describes it as "uncharacterized LOC122245713". Lineage: Eukaryota; Metazoa; Arthropoda; Malacostraca; Decapoda; Penaeidae. The record is from RNAcentral.
AGAAUGCGUUCGCCAGACCGUGAGAGCCAGAACGGACAGGCCAGGCUGGCUGUCAUCGGCAGCAAGGCAGUCGGAAAGACAGCUCUUACUGUGCGAUAUUUGACCAAGAGAUUCAUCGGAGAAUACCAGUCAGACACAGAUAUGAUGUACAAAGCUACGAUGGCGGUGGACGGCUCCAAGAUAAUGCUAGAGAUACUCGACCUCUCAUCAAAUCUGGU